AACGAACGCUGGCGGCACGUUUUAAGCAUGCAAGUCGAACGGCAGUGGGGGCAACCCCAUGAGAGUGGCGAACGGGUGAGUAACACGUAGGUGAUCUGCCUUUGGGUUGGGGAUAGCUUGUGGAAACACAGGGUAAUACCGAAUGAGCUGACGAGGCUUUGGCCAUGUUAGUAAAGGUGCUACGGCACCGCCUAGAGAGGAGCCUGCGGCUGAUUAGCUAGUUGGUGGGGGAAAGGCCUACCAAGGCGACGAUCAGUAGCCGGCCGGAGAGGGUGUACGGCCACACCGGAACUGAGACACGGUCCAGACUCCUACGGGAGGCAGCAGCUAAGAAUCUUCCGCAAUGGGCGAAAGCCUGACGGAGCGAUGCCGCGUGAUCGAUGAAGGUCGAGAGAUUGUAAAGAUCUUUUCCAACUGAGGAAUAAGUGGACCAGGGAAUGGGUUCAUGAUGACGUCAAGUUGGGAAUAAGCCCCGGCUAAUUACGUGCCAGCCGCCGCGGUAA
This 503-nucleotide ribosomal RNA is filed under the name uncultured bacterium. Its description in RNAcentral is "partial 16S ribosomal RNA". It matches the Rfam family "Bacterial small subunit ribosomal RNA", at positions 29 to 523 of the family's 1533-position model. The record is from RNAcentral.